This 855-nucleotide ribosomal RNA is filed under the name Paraburkholderia sp. Its description in RNAcentral is "bacterial SSU rRNA". It matches the Rfam family "Bacterial small subunit ribosomal RNA", at positions 20 to 873 of the family's 1533-position model. The record is from RNAcentral. Lineage: Bacteria; Pseudomonadati; Pseudomonadota; Betaproteobacteria; Burkholderiales; Burkholderiaceae.
CCCCGUAGAUGAACGCUGGCGGCAUGCCUUACACAUGCAAGUCGAACGGCAGCACGGGGGCAACCCUGGUGGCGAGUGGCGAACGGGUGAGUAAUACAUCGGAACGUGUCCUGUAGUGGGGGAUAGCCCGGCGAAAGCCGGAUUAAUACCGCAUACGCUCUACGGAGGAAAGGGGGGGAUCUUAGGACCUCCCGCUACAGGGGCGGCCGAUGGCAGAUUAGCUAGUUGGUGGGGUAAAGGCCUACCAAGGCGACGAUCUGUAGCUGGUCUGAGAGGACGACCAGCCACACUGGGACUGAGACACGGCCCAGACUCCUACGGGAGGCAGCAGUGGGGAAUUUUGGACAAUGGGGGAAACCCUGAUCCAGCAAUGCCGCGUGUGUGAAGAAGGCCUUCGGGUUGUAAAGCACUUUUGUCCGGAAAGAAAACCUCUGGGUUAAUACCCCGGGGGGAUGACGGUACCGGAAGAAUAAGCACCGGCUAACUACGUGCCAGCAGCCGCGGUAAUACGUAGGGUGCAAGCGUUAAUCGGAAUUACUGGGCGUAAAGCGUGCGCAGGCGGUCCGCUAAGACAGAUGUGAAAUCCCCGGGCUUAACCUGGGAACUGCAUUUGUGACUGGCGGGCUAGAGUAUGGCAGAGGGGGGUAGAAUUCCACGUGUAGCAGUGAAAUGCGUAGAGAUGUGGAGGAAUACCGAUGGCGAAGGCAGCCCCCUGGGCCAAUACUGACGCUCAUGCACGAAAGCGUGGGGAGCAAACAGGAUUAGAUACCCUGGUAGUCCACGCCCUAAACGAUGUCAACUAGUUGUCGGGUCUUCAUUGACUUGGUAACGUAGCUAACGCGUGAAGUGACCGCC